CAUCCUAGGUUCGAUUGAAAGGAACAAUCGAGGAGAACAGUCAUGUAAAGCAAGUUGUUCGGGAAGUAUUAGAAAAGCCAGAGUUGAGACUGGAUCCUCAUGUUGGUUAUGCGAGUCUUUUUCCAUUCAUGAGGAGGAUCAUUCCAUCUGUGAGUUGCAUCGAACAUCUAUCUUGGAAAUAUCCCCUCCAUCUGUACAAUGGACGUGUCAUGUUGGUUGGGCACUUUUUCUUUCUAUCUUUGUACAAUGGACGUGUCAUAAUGUCACUUAUCAGUUUUCAAUGAGCUUAUUCUUGAUUCCGAUUUAUAACUUCAUAAUGUAGAACUGAUGGAUUCUAGAAAAACAGUUUGACCUCAUCUCAAACAGGAGUGUACGUUGUGGACUAACUGGGUUCUCUUGCCAAAACCAGUUCCCUGCACAUGAAACGCAACACAGAGCAUGACCCACCCUAUUGGAGAGGUCCAAUUUGGAUGAACGUGAACUACAUGAUUCUUUCUGCACUCUACCACUACUCCAAAGGUAUCAGGUGCCUGUCUCAUUCAACUCUUGCAGAAGAUAGACCAUACAGAGAUAGGGCCAAGAUAAUCUAUGAGGACUUAAGGAGCAAUUUGAUUAAGUAAAGGUUUACAGUUUACCUUUUUUGUAUUGAUAUAGUUGCACGUACGCUCAAACUGGAUUAAAUUGUCGUCUGAUUAAAUUGUUUUUGCCGUUUUGCUACGGAGAUGUGGUUCAGAACUAUCACAAAACUGGGUUUUUGUGGGAGCAAUAUGAUCAGACUAGGGGUAAAGGAAAAGGCGCACGCUUGUUUACUGGUUGGACAUCACUUGUGCUGCUUAUAAUGGCAGAAACCUAUAGCUGAGCUAACAUAGUUUACAAAUAUCUUAUCUGAUGUAAUAUUGAUUUUUCAUCAGCAACAGCGAAAAAUAUCUUGGGUUUUACACAGAAUUAGGAAUCAGUUUCUAUAAAUUAUGCCUUUUUGGUUGAUUAAUUUUGUAUUAGUUUUUUGUGCUCUUUCUAAGCGUAAUAUCUUGGAUGGAAGGAUAAAGCAAAAGAAAGUAUAUUACAAAUUACACAGAAACAUCACAAUACUCCUUUAUGCGCUAUUCUCAACAUGCAGUAUUUUCUCAGCAUAAAAAUUAGGCAGACAGAAAAUGGUCAACUGGGGUCUGGGAUCAGGGGAAAAUGUAAACUCGAACAGCUAUUUGACUAUGGCAAGAAUGCUUGUGCUCUAUCAAACAAUAUUUAGCAACAAUCAGUUCUCAUUAUCUUCUCCUAUUGUAUGGCAAGAA
Jatropha curcas is the source of this 1289-nucleotide long non-coding RNA. RefSeq lists it as uncharacterized. The record is from RefSeq and is a predicted model, not a curated record. Lineage: Eukaryota; Viridiplantae; Streptophyta; Magnoliopsida; Malpighiales; Euphorbiaceae.